This is a long non-coding RNA of Homo sapiens (human), 4632 nucleotides long. RefSeq lists it as uncharacterized. The record is from RefSeq and is a predicted model, not a curated record. The transcript has 3 exons. NCBI's taxonomy places the organism in Eukaryota, Metazoa, Chordata, Mammalia, Primates, Hominidae.
CAGUCCUGGGGAGGGAGGAGACACAGCAGAGAGGCUGUCAGCUCUCACUCAGCCUGGGAGAUUUCCACAUGAUCUCAGAGGUCAGAUGAGCUCUUACCACUUCUCUUCUAAAACACCCACAAAUCAGGGUGUAAGUGCUUUCUGGAAUCUAAAUAUCGUUUUGUCUUUACACAACAACGUCCUGAAAUAAUUCCUGGUACUGAUUAACUUGGGCUCAUCAUCUAAAUUAUCAUAAUCGUGAGGGCUAUAACAAUGCACUGUCCUUCUGUUUUGUCCUUCAACGGCUUAUGGAGGAAACAAAUACUGUCAACAAGCCCACUGAGGAGCUUUACUUAAGGUGAAUUUUUAAGGAAUGUAAAGGAAUUGUAUUUUAACUGUACCAGAGGGACGGCUAUUUAAAUAAAUGUCCAACAGGGUUUCUAAACCUCAGAACUAUUUACAUUUUGGGGAGGACAAUUCUUUGCUGUGAGGACUGUCCUGGGCAUUGUAGGGUGGUUAGCACCAUCCCUGGCCUCUGCUCUACUCACAAGGUCCUGAGAAUAAUGACGACCAAAAAUGUCUCCAGACAUGGCCAAAUGUUCCCUCAGGGGCCAAAUUGUCUCUGGUUGAGAACCACUGUUCUGUAUCAAACCCAUUUUAAGGUGAGUUCUUGUGGCUUAUCACACUGUUUUUCCUAAAUUGAGACUGUCAUGUUAAGGUAGCUUAAAAACAACCAGCACUAUGCUGAAGGGGGAGGCGGGAGAGAUUGAGGUGCAGCUGCAGCUCUGGACCAUGGACCUUGAACCCUCAGUGUCAGUUCUGACCAGUUCUGUAUCCAUGAGAACUUGGAAUGCAGCCCCCGCCAUAUCCUGUAGAAACCAACAGCAGAAGAGGAAAUGCUUGUGGGUGAUGGAGAGGUGAAUCCCGCUCUUCUAACCCUGAACUCACCUCAUCUGGUGGGUGCCGGACUUUCUGUAGAUAUUUUUUUAGCACUUCCUCUGGGGUUUUACCUGCAGAGACAGGAGGUUCAGUGGGCCACCAAGGCAGAGGUAAGAGAUCAAACAGCCUUGUCGUGCUAGACAUGGUAGAGGGGGACGUUAUCAGGCAAGUUAAAAGCAAAAAGGGGAGGAAUUCCUUCUGCAAUUUAAGUUAAGAACAUGGAAGAGAGUAUGGAUUGUGGAAAAGCUAGUGAGAUGGUUUGACGAGAAGGCUUUAUUUCUUGCAGUCCCUUUUCUGACAUCUCUCUGCCUAUUUUCAACAAACCACUUUUUUAAUUGAGAAGAGUUGAGUGGGUUUCUCUUCCUUAUAAUCAAAUGAUUUGAUAACAGCACUUUGCAAACUGUUACACGUUAAAUAGAUGUUAGGCAGUCUUACCACCUUCAUUUUACAAUUUGCUAAGUGUAGUCUCAAUUUAUAAUGUGGUGUCAAAGUGUGAUUAUUUUUAUGGGAAACAAGGAAGUUAUGACCCACGACUCCAGAACAAUCUUUCCUGGCUGUGGAUGGCACUGUCACUGCCAGCCAGCACAGUCCUGCAGCAGGGGAAGGGUGAUCCUCUGGGAAGCAUCCUGAUGGGCUGCAAUGAUUUAGGGAUUUUUUUCAGGGGACUGGACUCUUAAAAGGUAGCCCAACCUGAAGGUAGAGGAUGGGAUGAUAUAACCUGAAAAAUGAUCAGUGCUACCUUGGGCCACUCCCUUAAUUUCUCUAAGCUUCUGUUUUCUCACCUAUGAAAUGGGGAUGAGCAAUAGCACUACCUCAAAGGGUUGCUUUGACAAUUGAAUGAGCAAAUGGAUGUACUGCCCUUUAGCUCUCUGCCAGAUAAGGGCCCGAUAUGCACUAUUAAUAAUAACAGGAAGAGUGGGAAAGUGUAAAAUGCUGUUAUUUCCGAUAAGACUAUGAGCAAGGCAAUUGAGCUCAUUUAAGCAGGGAAAUCUUGACGGACUGGAAAAGUAGGACAAGGGUUUGAGGAAGUGGAUCAUGCAACAGCCAAAAGCUUCGAUGCAGGCCCUUUCCUCCAGUUGCCCUGCUUCUCUUGUAAGAAUUAAGCUCUAGUAAUUAAGAGCCUAUUUCUUGCCAGGCCCUGGGCUAAGUGCAACACACACAUGAUCCAAUUUAAACUUCACAAGCCUGCAAGAUUGGGGCUUAGGGAGAUGGUCAAAUUUAACAACUAAUGCCAGUGACCAGAAAGACAAGCCACAGAGCUAAGCUGGGGUCCUGCAGUGCUAGGAAGGUACAGAUAUUGACCCCUUAUUUGCCGGAUUGCCUGCAGGUAGGAGGGGGUUCCUAAAGGAGGAUUUCAGAGCAGAGAUUUCUGUAGGUUCUAGGGGGACACAGGACAGGGACUACUUCCUAACUGUCAUGGAUGCAUUCCAGGAUAUACCUGCUGGAUACCAGUUAUACCAGUUGUGACUAUUUUUACUUCAUUAUAAAGAUGAGAAAAUAGGGGCUCCAUGUGGUCACACAACUUGCAAGAAACAAAGGAUAAAUCAAACCAGGAUGGGAGGAUGGAGGAGAAAGCUGAAUACAAAACAAGGGCCACUGGGCCAAGAAAAGAAGAAUGGACUUGUUUCUGGACUCUGUGACCUGCUCCCCAGGGCCAGGCAUGGUAUGGUGGAUGGGCAGUCAGGAAAAUCAGGUGCAAGUCCCAUCCCUGCCAGGAGUUUCUCGCUAAGCCAGGGACCUCUGGCUGGCAACACCCUGCCUGGGCCUCACUCGGCCACACAACCUGCUGCAGGAGAUGGCAAGAGAUGACUCGCCCACUCUGCCCACCUGGGCCAAGUUUGGCUGCACACCAGUUCCUAAGUUCUUGUCCCACACCCAAGAAGAAUGAGGAUAUGCUGACAAUCGAAGAGUGAACAAGGUGGGGAGUUUUAUUGAGUGAUGAAACAGCUUUCAGCAGAGAGGGGACCCAGGGGUGGUGCCCCUACCGAAAAGUGGGAAAGUCCCUGCAAUGUGGCUGAGUCUGGGGCUUUUAUAAGCUCAGAAUAGGGGAGGGGCAGGCUGUAGGUAGUACUGGAAAAGGCAACAUUUGAUUGGUUAAAAGGCAUUAUUCAGAAAGAAUCAAUUGGGAAAGGGUACAAAAACAGGAACAGAAGUUCUCACUCUGGGUUGCGGGUUUUAUCUUGGACCAGCAGUCCAGUCUUUCAGCCUUCAGGCUGUUUUUGGCUUGAAAGUGAGGUUUCACUGGGGACCUGCCCCUAUCUGCCUAGUCAUUUGGCUGCCUUCUGCUGCUCUCAAAUUGGUAUUUGCACAAUCUUUAUUACUUACAAAGCACCUCACAUAUCCCACGUAAAUUUCAUAGCAAUCCUAGAAAUACCUUUCACAAAUGAGGAAAUUAAGUUUAGAGAGUUUAAAUGGCACUAUUUUAUAUUCUCUCCAGGGUGGCAGGGACUGUGCAAUUAACCCCCUCACAGAUUUGCCUAAAAGACUUUUUUUUUUUUUUUAAACACAAUACUGUUAUCAAUCCUGGAGAUGCCUGAGAGUUGUCCCAGAACUUCUGGAAACUAUGCCAUGGAUCUAUAAUAUACCUUUCUAGGUUUGUCUUCCUCAGUCUCUGUGUUUUCUUCUAUUCCUGCCUGACAGAGGCCCCUUUUAUCCUCAUGCAUUCCCCCAGAGUUCCCUGACUCCCUUCCCCACAAUUCGCUAGGUCCCUUCUACUGAAAUGGCCUCUUUUGCCAUUUUUACCUAUUGAAAUUCUCCUUACCAUUCAGGUCUCAAGCCAUUUUCCAUCCAUUUCUUAAAAUGUUCUCCCAGCCCAGGCCCCACCCUCAGGAAGCCUGAGCUGUGUAGCUUGACUAUGCUGAUGUGCACCAAUGUUUCAGCAACAUUUUUCAUACCAUCCUGCCUUAAGUGGGUGCAGGAAUGCCACUGUGGAGCUCUUUGCAUUCUUAGUGCCUAAUGCAGUGUCUGGCAGUUGCAAGGGCUCCAGAAACUGCUGUGACUGAUUGAAGACUUCUGGCUACUUUAAUAUUUAAUCAUUUAUCACAUAUCCCUGAGCACUCAUUAACUGCUAUGGGGAAUGCAGAUUCAAGCAUUCCUCAAUUAGCUUUCAGUCUGAAACAGGGUUAGAAGACAAGUGUGUGAAUGACUAUUUAUGAGGCAGAACGUAUCACAAGGAGAAUGCCAACAAAAUGCAUGUUGGCAGGAAAAUUGACCAUGUCCCUUCCCUGCGUAAAUCCCUUCCAUGACUUCCCAUUAGGUUGAAAUCUAAAUCCCCCCUACCCACCAACAUACAUGGCCCCCUCAUAGCCUAACUGCCCACAUUUCAGCUACACUGGCCUUCAAUCUCUCCUCAUUGCCAGGCUUCUCUGAUUCUGGGCCUCUUCACAAUGCUGGUUCCUCCCCAAAACUCUGGCAUCUUUUCCAUAGCUCUUCCCACAGGAAGAGCUUAUUUCUUCAAGGAGGCCCCCUGGGCAGUCCUGGCCAGGUGAAAUUCUUGUUCCUUUUAAAAAAAUUUUAAUAGCAUUCAUCUCAAUGUGCAGUUACAUAUGUAUUUGUGUGGCUAAUUUGAUGAAUAUCUGUCCCCUUCACUAGAGAGUGAGUACCAUGAGAGUGGGCAUCAAGGUAUGUGCUCAUGGCUGUAUUCUCUAUGCCUGCAUGUCCUAGGCACUCCAAAAUAUUGAUUCAAUAAAUGAAGUAAUGAUGGUUUGGAAAGCA